GUGCCAGCAGCCGCGAUAAUUCCAGCUCCAAUAGCGUAUAUUAAAGUUGUUGCGGUUAAAAAGCUCGUAGUUGAACCUUGGACCUGGCUGGCCGGUCCGCCUCACCGCGUGCACUGUUCCGGCCGGGCCUUUCCCUCUGUGGAACCCCAUACCCUUCACUGGGCGUGGCGGGGAAACAGGACAUUUACUUUGAAAAAAUUAGAGUGCUCCAGGAAGGCCUAUGCUCGAAUACAUUAUCAUGGAAUAAUAAAAUAGGACGCGCGGUUCUAUUUUGUUGGUUUAUAGGACCGCCGUAAUGAUUAAUAGGGACAGUCGGGGGCAUCAGUAUUCAACUGUCAGAGGUGAAAUUCUUGGAUCAGUUGAAGACUAACUACUGCGAAAGCAUUUGCCAAGGAUGUUUUCAUUAAUCAGGAACGAAAGUUAGGGGAUCGAAGACGAUCAGAUACCGUCGUAGUCUUAACCAUCAACUAUGCCGACGAGGGAUCGGACGGUGUUAUUCAUGACCCGUUCGGCACCUCACGAGAAAUCAGAGUGCUUGGGCUUCUGAGAGAAAAAGCUCGUGGCCUGAGAUUUGAGUAUGCCCGAAGCGAGCGCCACCUCGCUUUAUGUUGCUUACAUUUGACUCGGCACUCGAAAGUCACCGCCGGCUGAGAAACAAGAAGGAAUGUGGGAUGACGUCUCGUUCCUCGAUGUUCCUUGACGCGCUGGGCUAGCACGUGCUAGAUGGUCGACUACGUGUCUAGCCACCUACGCGAAACGAGUAGACUCAACAUGCGACUCAGUUCGAUCGUUCUGUGAAGCUCGAGACUCGUAAGCGACUCUCUGAGUCAUGCGAAGCAGCAUUGCGGCGAUGAAUAGUCGCGAGCCUUGAAUAUCUCG
RNAcentral lists this ribosomal RNA (879 nucleotides) under uncultured fungus. RNAcentral's name for it is "bacterial SSU rRNA". The stretch from base 1 to 545 matches the Rfam family "Eukaryotic small subunit ribosomal RNA", at positions 564 to 1116 of the family's 1831-position model. The record is from RNAcentral. Lineage: Eukaryota; Fungi.